Molecule: ribosomal RNA, 425 nt
Filed under: uncultured bacterium
Lineage: Bacteria
Description: bacterial SSU rRNA
Rfam family: Bacterial small subunit ribosomal RNA
Source: RNAcentral
UGGGGAAUUUUGGGCAAUGGGCGCAAGCCUGACCCAGCAACGCCGCGUAAGGGAUGAAGGUCUUCGGAUCGUAAACCUUUGUCGAGAGGGACGAACCUGUCUGGUUAAUCCCAGACUCUGACGGUACCUCUGGAGGAAGCACCGGCUAACUCCGUGCCAGCAGCCGCGGUAAUACGGAGGGUGCAAGCGUUGUUCGGAAUCAUUGGGCGUAAAGAGCGUGUAGGUGGAUUGAUAAGUCAGGAGUGAAAUCCCUCGGCUUAACCGAGGAAGUGCUUUUGAAACUAUCAUUCUAGAGUAUGGGAGAGGGAAGUGGAAUUCCAUGUGUAGAGGUGAAAUUCGUAGAUAUAUGGAGGAACACCAGUGGCGAAGGCGACUUCCUGGCCCACAACUGACACUGAGACGCGAGAGCGUGGGGAGCAAACAGG